AGUGAACGCUGGCGGUAGGCCUAACACAUGCAAGUCGAACGGCAGCACAGUAAGAGCUUGCUCUUACGGGUGGCGAGUGGCGGACGGGUGAGGAAUACAUCGGAAUCUACUUUUUCGUGGGGGAUAACGUAGGGAAACUUACGCUAAUACCGCAUACGACCUACGGGUGAAAGCAGGGGAUCUUCGGACCUUGCGCGAUUGAAUGAGCCGAUGUCGGAUUAGCUAGUUGGCGGGGUAAAGGCCCACCAAGGCGACGAUCCGUAGCUGGUCUGAGAGGAUGAUACGCCACACUGGAACUGAGACACGGUCCAGACUCCUACGGGGGGCAGCAGUGGGGAAUAUUGGACAAUGGGCGCAAGCCUGAUCCAGCCAUACCGCGUGGGUGAAGAAGGCCUUCGGGUUGUAAAGCCCUUUUGUUGGGAAAGAAAAGCAGCAGGUUAAUACCCCGCUGUUCUGACGGUACCCAAAGAAUAAGCACCGGCUAACUUCGUG
RNAcentral lists this ribosomal RNA (492 nucleotides) under uncultured bacterium. RNAcentral's name for it is "partial 16S ribosomal RNA". It matches the Rfam family "Bacterial small subunit ribosomal RNA", at positions 29 to 507 of the family's 1533-position model. The record is from RNAcentral.